GGCUAGAUAGCAUAGUGGUUUAUGCAAAAGAUUGCAAAUCUUUUUACAUUGGUUCAAAUCCGAUUCUAGCUU
RNAcentral lists this transfer RNA (72 nucleotides) under Gracilaria rangiferina. RNAcentral describes it as "Hydropuntia rangiferina tRNA-Cys". It matches the Rfam family "tRNA". Rfam says of the family: Transfer RNA (tRNA) molecules are approximately 80 nucleotides in length. Lineage: Eukaryota; Rhodophyta; Florideophyceae; Gracilariales; Gracilariaceae. The record is from RNAcentral.